UGGUGGGACAUCAUGGGCUGGGAAAAUAAGCACAGUCAUAGGAACUUAUCAGGGUGUGACGGCUUGGCCAGUGAAGCCAAUCCCCCUUAUCUAAAUAAUAAAUGUACAGUCUUCGGAGCAACUAGGACAACAUCUAUCAGAUCAAAGAUGAAAAUCCUUCAGGCCUAA
Molecule: long non-coding RNA, 168 nt
Filed under: Anas platyrhynchos platyrhynchos (common mallard)
Lineage: Eukaryota; Metazoa; Chordata; Aves; Anseriformes; Anatidae
Description: lncRNA (ENSAPLG00000022285.1)
Source: RNAcentral